AUCGCCUGGAGAAGAUCAUCAUUAAAAAAUGAAUAAACGUGCAUUAGUGCUGAUUUUGGUGGUGACACUUUUAGUUCAACAUGUUCAAGAAUCGGACGCUGGAUGGGUAAGAAGAGGAAUCAGAAAAAUUGGACAGGGAGUGCGACGCGUAGUUCGACCUGUCAGAAGAGUAAUUCGAAGACUACCUAUUCGAAGAUUCGGAAGAAUUGGAUAACCAACGUAAAACCGAAAGUGGAAGGACUUUUUCAAAGCCAAUGGAUAUCGAAAACUUUUAAAAGAAUUGACUUUUUAAUGUCUUCUAUUUGAGAUUUCACUUGUACGUUUGGAUAUUUUGUGAAAAGAAUUAUGCUUACUUUAAAUACAGUCUAAAUUGAUGAAAGUU
Molecule: long non-coding RNA, 382 nt
Organism: Saccostrea echinata
Lineage: Eukaryota; Metazoa; Mollusca; Bivalvia; Ostreida; Ostreidae
Exons: 2
Source: RefSeq, a predicted model, not a curated record